RNAcentral lists this ribosomal RNA (490 nucleotides) under uncultured bacterium. RNAcentral describes it as "partial 16S ribosomal RNA". It matches the Rfam family "Bacterial small subunit ribosomal RNA", at positions 28 to 507 of the family's 1533-position model. The record is from RNAcentral.
GAUGAACGCUAGCUACAGGCUUAACACAUGCAAGUCGAGGGGCAGCAUGGUCUUAGCUUGCUAAGGCCGAUGGCGACCGGCGCACGGGUGAGUAACACGUAUCCAACCUGCCGUCUACUCUUGGACAGCCUUCUGAAAGGAGGAUUAAUACAAGAUGGCAUCAUGAGUUCACAUGUUCACAUGAUUAAAGGUAUUCCGGUAGACGAUGGGGAUGCGUUCCAUUAGAUAGUAGGCGGGGUAACGGCCCACCUAGUCUUCGAUGGAUAGGGGUUCUGAGAGGAAGGUCCCCCACAUUGGAACUGAGACCCGGUCCAAACUCCUACGGGAGGCAGCAGUGAGGAAUAUUGGUCAAUGGGCGAGAGCCUGAACCAGCCAAGUAGCGUGAAGGAUGACUGCCCUAUGGGUUGUAAACUUCUUUUAUAAAGGAAUAAAGUCGGGUAUGUAUACCCGUUUGCAUGUACUUUAUGAAUAAGGAUCGGCUAACUCCGUG